This 462-nucleotide ribosomal RNA is filed under the name uncultured bacterium. RNAcentral's name for it is "partial 16S ribosomal RNA". It matches the Rfam family "Bacterial small subunit ribosomal RNA", at positions 28 to 507 of the family's 1533-position model. The record is from RNAcentral.
GACGAACGCUGGCGGCGUGCUUAACACAUGCAAGUCGAACGGAAAGGCCCUUCGGGGUACUCGAGUGGCGAACGGGUGAGCAACACGUGGGUGAUCUGCCCUGCACUUUGGGAUAAGCCUGGGAAACUGGGUCUAAUACCGAAUAGGACCACGCGCUUCAUGGUGUGUGGUGGAAAGCUUUUGCGGUGUGGGAUGGGCCCGCGGCCUAUCAGCUUGUUGGUGGGGUAAUGGCCUACCAAGGCGACGACGGGUAGCCGGCCUGAGAGGGUGACCGGCCACACUGGGACUGAGAUACGGCCCAGACUCCUACGGGAGGCAGCAGUGGGGAAUAUUGCACAAUGAGCGCAAGCCUGAUGCAGCGGCGCCGCGUGAGGGAUGACGGCCUUCGGGUUGUAAACCUCUUUCAAUAGGGACGAAGCGCAAGUGACGGUACCUAUAGAAGAAGCACCGGCCAACUACGUG